AUGGCCAUUCUGGACUGCUUUAAAGUCAGAGUACCUUUUGAUGCCCCAGCCCCCAUAAUGGGUUUGAGCCUCACAUCUGCUAAACAAGUGCUGUACCCCUGUGCUGACUGGCGUUCUGUCAACUUGACAGAAGAAUCUGCCGCUCAGGAGAAGCCAACUCUGCCACCCUCUAGGGCAGCUGCCGGAGCAGACUAUUUUUAG
RNAcentral lists this long non-coding RNA (201 nucleotides) under Mus musculus (house mouse). RNAcentral's name for it is "RIKEN cDNA A730009L09 gene". Lineage: Eukaryota; Metazoa; Chordata; Mammalia; Rodentia; Muridae. The record is from RNAcentral.